AGUGUGACAUCAGCGGUCAUGGAGAGUCUCCAUCCAGCUGGAUCACUGUCACAGACAAACUCACCACCACACCUCCACCUACAUCCACACCUCUUCUUCUUGCACUGUCAUGUGUUGGAGCAGUCUGUUUUGUGGCUCUGCUGGUGAGAACAUGUGUUCACAGGAAACCUGAAGACAGUGAUCCAGCUACAGUUUACUCAGCAGUGAGAACUGAAGACGUCACUUGUGGAAAAAUCCUCAUCAAAGACAAGAAGAAAUCAAAUCUGAGAGAGACUGAUUCAGCUGUGGUCUACUCAGCAGUGAGAACUGAAGACGUCCGUUAUGGACAAACCACCAUCAGAACAAGGAGGCCCAGACUUUAAACCAGAGCCAGACGUCGUCUACUCUUCACUGAAGUAGUCCACCAGUCCAACCACUGACAUCCAGCUGCUGGUCUUUAACUGGUCCCCCCAGCACCUCAGACCAGAGGACAUCCACAUGUUACAGAUUUUACAUGUUACAGAUGUUUUAUGUCUUUUUAGCACUGAAUUAGACUCUGAUGACCCAGAACUACUUACUGGAAGUCAGUUCAUUGACUUGAUGUUUGUUGGCUUUUGUUCCCACAGCAGUGAGCAGGAUUAAUAAACUACAAAUACAAAAUUUAA
Molecule: non-coding RNA, 644 nt
Organism: Neolamprologus brichardi
Lineage: Eukaryota; Metazoa; Chordata; Actinopteri; Cichliformes; Cichlidae
Source: RefSeq, a predicted model, not a curated record